ACUUGGAUGCAAACUGCUUUUCUAUUCAAAGUUUGGCUCUUCAUGUAAAAUAAUGCAAUGAUUUCUGUUCUGGAAGCAGAAUGACAGAAAUGCAAAAAGACAAACAACAAGAACAACAAAAAAAAUGCUACUUGGGCAGCUACAUGAAACUGAACACACCCGAGUAUGAAAAAAAAUAUUUAUGUCAAUGACACCGACAGGUAUUGCACUUAGGAAGAACAAGAAAACUGUACGCAGUGUUUAUACUUAAAAUCCCUAAAAUGUACCCUGUUUGAGGACACAAGGCCAGAUGUGUGCAAAGAGGAAAUAUAAAACAUUAGGUAAAAUUACAUUUACAUCCACCCAACAGUGUACGAACAUCACAAAGACAGCCCGACCGAUAUGGAUUUUUUUUUGAGUGCAGAAACAGAUAUUAGAGGUUAAACAAAAAAUAAAUUAAUAAUAAGAUAGAUAUCUGCAGAUAUGUACACAAAAAUGGCAUAAAUUCCAUUUUGUCAUCAAACCCUGAUGACAAUAAUAAUAAAAAUAUGGUUUCAUAGUUUAAACAUGAACUUUAUUAUAAAUAACUAUAUUCAACCAACAUUUAUCACACUGCCUUUCCUAGACUUGGCAGUUGCAGUGUCAUCACUCCACAUUUGUAUGAAAUAGACUUCUCAUUGAUUUUUGCCACACCUAGCUGUCAGCAUAGCGACCACUUGGCUCUAGUCGUAAAACAGCCACUGACUGAAAAUGAACAGUAGCUGUUCGCUUUGCCUGUGGCCAAGGGAUAUUUGACAGCACUGCAAACAAUGCCAUGAGAGCAUUGUCUGUUGAACAAACUAUGUAAUGACGCCAUUUCCGACAGCCAAGGUGUUUUACUGCAUCAUUUAUCCUGAAAAGUAAAAAGUUUUAUAUCGGCAUACAUAACUGUAUAUUCAUAAAAAGACUCAUAUCGGCCGAUAUUAUCUUCCCACCAGUAUAUCGGUCAGGCUAUAAUCGCAAACAUGGCUCCUGCCCAAAUUCAGCCAGAUGUGUUUCUGAACAUGACCUGUUUGGGGGGAUCGCAUAAAUUUACUUUGAUUGCUAAGGUUCGAGUUGCCAAACAGAUGACGCACCAGCAGCAUCGUUUGUGAAGCUAACACUGAGGCUUAAUGUCAAUCAACUUCUAACUCUGCCCACUUUCCUAGACAGCAAAACAUUCAUCUGGCCCUGGUUACACGAUCUCACUGUCAAAUCCAAAACCAAUCCCAUCGCUCACAAUUCAAACAAAAGGUUGUAUUGAUAGCCAAUCAGAAACCACCUGAGCAGGUGUCUAAGAUCACCAAAAAAAAAAAAAA
This is a long non-coding RNA of Thalassophryne amazonica, 1316 nucleotides long. RefSeq lists it as uncharacterized. Lineage: Eukaryota; Metazoa; Chordata; Actinopteri; Batrachoidiformes; Batrachoididae. The record is from RefSeq and is a predicted model, not a curated record. The transcript has 2 exons.